RNAcentral lists this ribosomal RNA (868 nucleotides) under uncultured anaerobic bacterium. RNAcentral describes it as "bacterial SSU rRNA". It matches the Rfam family "Bacterial small subunit ribosomal RNA", at positions 29 to 896 of the family's 1533-position model. The record is from RNAcentral.
AUGAACGCUGGCGGCGUGCCUAAUACAUGCAAGUCGAACGCGAGCACUUGUGCUCGAGUGGCGAACGGGUGAGUAAUACAUAAGUAACCUGCCCUAGACAGGGGGAUAACUAUUGGAAACGAUAGCUAAGACCGCAUAGGUACGGACACUGCAUGGUGACCGUAUUAAAAGUGCCUCAAAGCACUGGUAGAGGAUGGACUUAUGGCGCAUUAGCUGGUUGGCGGGGUAACGGCCCACCAAGGCGACGAUGCGUAGCCGACCUGAGAGGGUGACCGGCCACACUGGGACUGAGACACGGCCCAGACUCCUACGGGAGGCAGCAGUAGGGAAUUUUCGGCAAUGGGGGAAACCCUGACCGAGCAACGCCGCGUGAAGGAAGAAGGUUUUCGGAUUGUAAACUUCUGUUAUAAAGGAAGAACGGCGGUUACAGGAAAUGGUAGCCGAGUGACGGUACUUUAUUAGAAAGCCACGGCUAACUACGUGCCAGCAGCCGCGGUAAUACGUAGGUGGCAAGCGUUAUCCGGAAUUAUUGGGCGUAAAGAGGGAGCAGGCGGCAGCAAGGGUCUGUGGUGAAAGCCUGAAGCUUAACUUCAGUAAGCCAUAGAAACCAGGCAGCUAGAGUGCAGGAGAGGAUCGUGGAAUUCCAUGUGUAGCGGUGAAAUGCGUAGAUAUAUGGAGGAACACCAGUGGCGAAGGCGACGAUCUGGCCUGCAACUGACGCUCAGUCCCGAAAGCGUGGGGAGCAAAUAGGAUUAGAUACCCUAGUAGUCCACGCCGUAAACGAUGAGUACUAAGUGUUGGAUGUCAAAGUUCAGUGCUGCAGUUAACGCAAUAAGUACUCCGCCUGAGUAGUACGUUCGCAAGAAUG